AUUGAACGCUGGCGGCAUGCCUUACACAUGCAAGUCGAACGGCAGCACGGGAGCAAUCCUGGUGGCGAGUGGGCGAACGGGUGAGUAAUAUAUCGGAACGUGCCCAGUAGUGGGGGAUAGCCCGGCGAAAGCCGGAUUAAUACCGCAUACGACCUGAGGGUGAAAGCGGGGGAUCGCAAGACCUCGCGCUAUUGGAGCGGCCGAUAUCAGAUUAGCUAGUUGGUGGGGUAAAGGCCUACCAAGGCUACGAUCUGUAGUUGGGUCUGAGAGGACGACCAGCCACACUGGGACUGAGACACGGCCCAGACUCCUACGGGAGGCAGCAGUGGGGAAUUUUGGACAAUGGGCGCAAGCCUGAUCCAGCAAUGCCGCGUGCAGGAAGAAGGCCUUCGGGUUGUAAACUGCUUUUGUCAGGGAAGAAAUCUUCUGGGCUAAUACCCCGGGAGGAUGACGGUACCUGAAGAAUAAGCACCGGCUAACUACGUG
RNAcentral lists this ribosomal RNA (486 nucleotides) under uncultured bacterium. Its description in RNAcentral is "bacterial SSU rRNA". It matches the Rfam family "Bacterial small subunit ribosomal RNA", at positions 30 to 507 of the family's 1533-position model. The record is from RNAcentral.